CCUAAUUUCUGUGCUAGCAACACUUCACAAUUCUCAUUCUUGUGCCUGAAGUGGCCUUAACUUCAGCCCUGUUCCAGGUGUGGAUAUGGAAUUCAGACUGACCAAUCAGAUCACUGCCACACUGUUUGGAUCAAGGAUAAGCACUUGAUCUGCUUCAGGCAGAUCAGGAGACAAGAAGAUUAGAUUCCCAGGUUUUUCAUUGGAAACUUUUGAGGAAGGGGCACUUUUUUUCAGCUGGAAUUGCUCAGCGUGGGCUAUGAGUCUAGAGCUAUCCACAGCCAUCUGCCCACCCUAAGUGGAGAACCUACCAGCAAUAGAAACAACACAAAGGGAAGCAGAGCUGAGAGAUGGAAAGACUCCUAAGAAGGCCCAAAGACAGAAUUUAAACAGCAGAGCCAAUUAGGACCAAACUUUUCAGGUAUGCUUGAUUUGGAUAACCAGCUCAACCUUCGUUCCCUUGGUACAGACCUGGAAAUCUCAUACAAUGCUUUGGUCAUCCUGCCUAUAUGCCCAACUGUGAUGGUUAAUUUUAUACGUCAACUUGACUGGGCCAAGGGGUGCUCAGAUAGUUGGUUAAACAUUGCUGGGUGUGUCUGUGAGGGUGUUUCUGGAAAAGAUUAUCAUUUGAAUUGGUGGACUGAGCAAAGCAGAUGGCCUUCCCCAGUGAGGAUGGGCAUCAUCCAAUCUGUUAAGGACCUGAAUAGAAGAAAAAGGUGGAGGAAGGUUGAAUUAACCCUGUCUGACUGGUGAGCUGGGACAUAAAUCUUCUCCUGCUCUUGGUGCUCCUGGUCUCAGGACUGUAGACCUGGACUGGAAUGUAUACCAUCGUGUCUCUGGCUUUGAACUAUACCUCCAGCUUUCCUGGGUCUCCAGCUUGCAGACAGCAGAUUUUGGGACUUUUCAGCUUCAUCAUCAGCCCUGCAACUUUCCCCCUGCUUCCUGCCUCUGUGUGCUGGCUCAAGCUGUGAGGUGAUUUCAUGGAUCUGGGCAGAACCUGAGACUUAGAGGAUAAGUAAUUCAUUUGAGUAUUCGAAUUACCUCUUUAUACAUAGAUUUUCUCCAUUGUACGACUUCCCAAGACGGAUGACUCUCUGUCUUUUCAUCAGUGUGUUCCCAAACUCUGGAAUCCAGCUUGUAGUAGGCAAUCAAUAAAUAUUCAUAGGGACAGAUAUGCUUACUUAAGUGAAAAUGUAUUUAAUUUGGCCAUUCAUUCCUCUUUCUUUUCAGAAUAAUAUCCCAAACUUCUUUUGGGGAAAUUAUCUCUCUUUAACGUGCAUGGAGACUUCAAACCAAAGUAAUCUGCCCACUCCUUGGCAAAUGGUAGACACCUGACUCAAGUCGGGUAAAUGAGUGUCUGUCUCUCUGUCUCUGUCUCUAUGCCUCUGUCUCUUUCAGUGUCUCUCUCUCAGGAUUUCGGUCUGGAGAAGAGGGACAAAGAUGGGUUUGGAAUGGUUGGAGCACAUCCAUAUGAGUGGAGAAUUCCAAGUACAUCUGUCUCAAUUUGUUAAUUUGAUGAGUUACAGCAGCUUACAUUUUCAAUGUUAAACCAGCCUUGAAUGUGGAGACAAAAUCAAAUUGGCUAUCAUGCAUUCCUCGCUUUAUAUACUGUUGGAUCCUAUUUGCUAAAAUGUUGCCUAAAGUUUUUGCAUCUACUUUGAUGAGGAAUAGUGGUCUGAAGUUUUCUUUUUUAAUAUAAUGUAUUUGUUGAUUUUGGUUUCAGAAUAAUGUUAACAUCAAAUGAAUUGAAAAGUAUUUCUUCCUUUUCAAUUAUUUGGCAGAAUUUAUAUAAAAUUGGUAUUUUACUUCUGUAAAUGUUUGGAAGAAUUUUCCAGUGAAGGCAUCUGGGCC
This 1848-nucleotide long non-coding RNA is filed under the name Equus caballus (horse). Its description in RNAcentral is "lncRNA (ENSECAG00000049455.1)". The record is from RNAcentral. Lineage: Eukaryota; Metazoa; Chordata; Mammalia; Perissodactyla; Equidae.